RNAcentral lists this ribosomal RNA (434 nucleotides) under uncultured bacterium. RNAcentral describes it as "partial 16S ribosomal RNA". It matches the Rfam family "Bacterial small subunit ribosomal RNA", at positions 29 to 507 of the family's 1533-position model. The record is from RNAcentral.
AGCGAACGCUGGCGGCAGGCCUAACACAUGCAAGUCGAACGAACCUUUCGGGGUUAGUGGCGGACGGGUGAGUAACACGUGGGAACGUGCCUUUAGGUUCGGAAUAACUCAGGGAAACUUGUGCUAAUACCGAAUGUGCCCUUCGGGGGAAAGAUUAAUCGCCUUUAGAGCGGCCCGCGUCUGUUUAGCUAGUUGGUUGAGGUAAUGGCUCACCAAGGCGACGAUCAGUAGCUGGUCUGAGAGGAUGAUCAGCCACAUUGGGACUGAGACGCGGCCCAAACUCCUACGGGAGGCAGCAGUGGGGAAUCUUGCGCAAUGGGCGAAAGCCUGACGCAGCCAUGCCGCGUGAAUGAUGAAGGUCUUAGGAUUGUAAAAUUCUUUCACCGGGGACGAUAAUGACGGUACCCGGAGAAGAAGCCCCGGCUAACUUCGUG